AGUGCGGAGUGCCUACACCCGAUCCCAUCCCGAACUCGGCCGUGAAACGCUCCAGCGCCCAUGAUACUCAGGCUUAAGCCUCGGGAAAGUAGGCCGCCGCCAGAC
RNAcentral lists this ribosomal RNA (105 nucleotides) under Alphaproteobacteria bacterium. The record is from RNAcentral. Lineage: Bacteria; Pseudomonadati; Pseudomonadota; Alphaproteobacteria.